This is a ribosomal RNA of Oryzias javanicus (javanese ricefish), 119 nucleotides long. The record is from Ensembl. Lineage: Eukaryota; Metazoa; Chordata; Actinopteri; Beloniformes; Adrianichthyidae.
GCUUACGGCCACACCACCCUGAACACGCCUGAUCUCGUCUGAUCUCGGAAGCUAAGCAGGGCCGGGCCUGGUUAGUACUUGGAUGGGAGACCGCCUGGGAAUACCAGGUGCUGUAAGUU